UUAUACCUGUCCCAUCCUAUCAGUCCAGGGGUAUUUGGACUUCUAAUCUUAAGUUGAGGGAAUCCUACAUCAGUGGAUACUUACAUAAGGGCAAGCAUAUGGUACCUAGAGCAAGACUUAUGGCCUUUUAUUUGUGAGAGUUGAGAGAGAAGUCCAUUCACCUCGAUUAUGUGCAAAUACUUUAUAAGGUGAGGUUCACUUAGGGAAAGUCGAGGAUGUGUGAGUUUGGGUUCCACAAUGACCAAAGUAGUUGAGAAAGGUUCCUUGAUGAGAAGUGUCAACUCUUGAUGCUCUUGUGUCACAUUCGAU
This 309-nucleotide long non-coding RNA is filed under the name Nicotiana benthamiana. Its description in RNAcentral is "long non-coding RNA (NBEN_LNC028470)". Lineage: Eukaryota; Viridiplantae; Streptophyta; Magnoliopsida; Solanales; Solanaceae. The record is from RNAcentral.